AAAUGACAGUGGUACAACAUGAGGAGUUUUAAUUUGGUCAGGACGGGAACGUAGCAGCCACGUAAACGAAUUGUGUGUGUACCGUUUUUGUGAGGGAAA
Molecule: signal recognition particle RNA, 99 nt
Filed under: Erysipelotrichaceae bacterium
Lineage: Bacteria; Bacillati; Bacillota; Erysipelotrichia; Erysipelotrichales; Erysipelotrichaceae
Description: signal recognition particle sRNA small type
Rfam family: Bacterial small signal recognition particle RNA
About the family: The signal recognition particle (SRP) is a universally conserved ribonucleoprotein involved in the co-translational targeting of proteins to membranes.
Source: RNAcentral